GACGAACGCUGGCGGCGUGCCUAACACAUGCAAGUCGAGCGGUAAGGCCCCUUCGGGGGUACACGAGCGGCGAACGGGUGAGUAACACGUGAGCAGCCUACCCUCAACACUGGGAUAAGCCCGGGAAACCGGGUCUAAUACCGGAUAAUCUCUUAAUCGACAUCGAUUGAGAAUGAAAGUUCCGGCGGUUGAGGAUGGGCUCGCGGCCUAUCAGCUAGUUGGUGGGGUAAUGGCCUACCAAGGCUCGACGGGUAGCCGGCCUGAGAGGGCGACCGGCCACACUGGGACUGAGACACGGCCCAGACUCCUACGGGAGGCAGCAGUGGGGAAUAUUGCGCAAUGGGCGAAAGCCUGACGCAGCAACGCCGCGUGAGGGAUGACGGCC
Molecule: ribosomal RNA, 385 nt
Filed under: uncultured bacterium
Lineage: Bacteria
Description: bacterial SSU rRNA
Rfam family: Bacterial small subunit ribosomal RNA
Source: RNAcentral